GAUGAACGCUAGCGGCAGGCCUAAUACAUGCAAGUCGAACGAGAUUAAGGGGCUUGCUCCUUAUGAAAGUGGCGCACGGGUGCGUAACGCGUAUGCAACCUACCUCAAUCAGGGGGAUAGCCCGAAGAAAUUCGGAUUAACACCGCAUAAAAACACAGUACAGCAUUGUACAAUGUUCAAAUAUUUAUAGGAUUGAGAUG
Molecule: ribosomal RNA, 200 nt
Filed under: uncultured bacterium
Lineage: Bacteria
Description: partial 16S ribosomal RNA
Rfam family: Bacterial small subunit ribosomal RNA
Source: RNAcentral